CUAGAGUUUGAUCCUGGCUCAGAAUCAACGCUGGCGGCGUGCCUCAGAUAUGCAACUCGAACGAUUAAACUUUCCUUCGGGAAAGAUAUAAAGUGGCGCACGGGUGAGUAACACGUAAGUAAUCUACCUUCGAGUGGGGAAUAACCCGGGGAAACCCGAGCUAAUACCGCAUAACGCAGCGGCACCUAAUGGUGACAGUUGUUAAAGGAGCAAUUCGCUUGAAGAGGAGCUUGCGGCAGAUUAGCUAUUUGGUAAGGUAAUGGCUUACCAAGGCUUCGAUCUGUAUCCGGUCUAAGAGGACGGUCGGACACACUGACACUGAAUAACGGGUCAGACUCCUACGGGAGGCAGCAGUCGGGAAUUUUGGGCAAUGGGCGAAAGCCUGACCCAGCAACGCCGCGUGAAGGAUGAAGUAUUUCGGUAUGUAAAC
This 430-nucleotide ribosomal RNA is filed under the name uncultured bacterium. Its description in RNAcentral is "bacterial SSU rRNA". It matches the Rfam family "Bacterial small subunit ribosomal RNA", at positions 1 to 430 of the family's 1533-position model. The record is from RNAcentral.